AGCGAACGCUGGCGGCAGGCCUAACACAUGCAAGUCGAACGAACCUUUCGGGGUUAGUGGCGGACGGGUGAGUAACACGUGGGAACGUGCCUUUAGGUUCGGAAUAACUCAGGGAAACUUGUGCUAAUACCGAAUGUGCUCUUCGGGGGAAAGAUUAAUCGCCUUUAGAGCGGCCCGCGUCUGAUUAGCUAGUUGGUUGAGGUAAUGGCUCACCAAGGCGACGAUCAGUAGCUGGUCUGAGAGGAUGAUCAGCCACAUUGGGACUGAGACACGGCCCAAACUCCUACGGGAGGCAGCAGUGGGGAAUCUUGCGCAACGGGCGAAAGCCUGACGCAGCCAUGCCGCGUGAAUGAUGAAGGUCUUAGGAUUGUAAAAUUCUUUCACCGGGGACGAUAAUGACGGUACCCGGAGAAGAAGCCCCGGCUAACUUCGUG
Molecule: ribosomal RNA, 434 nt
Filed under: uncultured bacterium
Lineage: Bacteria
Description: partial 16S ribosomal RNA
Rfam family: Bacterial small subunit ribosomal RNA
Source: RNAcentral